UACGAAGGUCCCAAGCGUUAUCCGGAUUUAUUGGGUUUAAAGGGUGCGUAGGCGGCCCUGUAAGUCAGUGCUGAAAUAUCCCAGCUUAACUGGGAGGGUGGCAUUGAUACUGCGGGGCUAGAGUACAGAUGAGGUAGGCGGAAUUGACGGUGUAGCGGUGAAAUGCUUAGAUAUCGUCAAGAACACCUAUAGCGAAGGCAGCUUACUAGGCUGUAACUGACGCUGAGGCGCGAAAGCUAGGGGAGCAAACAGG
This 253-nucleotide ribosomal RNA is filed under the name uncultured bacterium. RNAcentral's name for it is "partial 16S ribosomal RNA". It matches the Rfam family "Bacterial small subunit ribosomal RNA", at positions 524 to 776 of the family's 1533-position model. The record is from RNAcentral.